RNAcentral lists this transfer RNA (54 nucleotides) under Dermatophagoides farinae (American house dust mite). RNAcentral's name for it is "tRNA-Gln". The record is from RNAcentral. Lineage: Eukaryota; Metazoa; Arthropoda; Arachnida; Sarcoptiformes; Pyroglyphidae.
AUAAGGUAAAGUGUAAAGCACAUUAAGCUUUGAACUUAAAAGUAAAAUCUUAUU